GUGCCAGCAGCCGCGGUAAUACGUAGGGCGCAAGCGUUGUCCGGAUUCACUGGGUGUAAAGGGUGCGUAGGCGGGAGAGUAAGUCCGCGGUGAAAUCUCACGGCUCAACCGUGAAACUGCCGUUGAUACUGCUUUUCUUGAGUUCGGGAGAGGUUGAUGGAAUUCCAGGUGUAGCGGUGAAAUGCGUAGAUAUCUGGAAGAACACCAGUGGCGAAGGCGGUCAACUGGCCCGAAACUGACGCUGAGGCACGAAAGCGUGGGGAGCGAACAGGAUUAGAAACCCCUGUAGUCC
This 292-nucleotide ribosomal RNA is filed under the name uncultured bacterium. RNAcentral describes it as "partial 16S ribosomal RNA". It matches the Rfam family "Bacterial small subunit ribosomal RNA", at positions 505 to 796 of the family's 1533-position model. The record is from RNAcentral.